RNAcentral lists this ribosomal RNA (756 nucleotides) under uncultured bacterium. Its description in RNAcentral is "bacterial SSU rRNA". It matches the Rfam family "Bacterial small subunit ribosomal RNA", at positions 8 to 796 of the family's 1533-position model. The record is from RNAcentral.
AGAGUUUGAUCCUGGCUCAGAAUCAACGCUGGCGGCGUGCCUAACACAUGCAAGUCGAACGAGAAAGGGUAGCAAUACCUGAGUAAAGUGGCGCACGGGUGAGUAACACGUGACUAACCUACCCUGGAGUGGGGAAUAACUGAGGGAAACCUUAGCUAAUACCGCAUAAUACCUACGGGUCAAAGGAGCAAUUCGCUUCAGGAGGGGGUCGCGGCCGAUUAGUUAGUUGGCGGGGUAAUGGCCCACCAAGACAGUGAUCGGUAUCCGGCCUGAGAGGGCGCACGGACACACUGGAACUGAAACACGGUCCAGACUCCUACGGGAGGCAGCAGUGGGGAAUUUUGCGCAAUGGGGGAAACCCUGACGCAGCAACGCCGCGUGGAGGAUGAAAUCCCUUGGGAUGUAAACUCCUUUCGAUCGGGACGAUUAUGACGGUACCGGAAGAAGAAGCCCCGGCUAACUUCGUGCCAGCAGCCGCGGUAAUACGAGGGGGGCAAGCGUUGUUCGGAAUUAUUGGGCGUAAAGGGAGCGUAGGCGGUUCUGUAAGUCGUGUGUGAAAUCUUCGGGCUCAACCCGAAGUCUGCACACGAAACUGCAGGGCUUGAGUAUGGGAGAGGUGAGUGGAAUUCCUGGUGUAGCGGUGAAAUGCGUAGAUAUCAGGAGGAACACCUGUGGCGAAAGCGGCUCACUGGACCAUUACUGACGCUGAGGCUCGAAAGCUAGGGGAGCAAACAGGAUUAGAUACCCUAGUAGUCC